AGUAUUAUAGUUUAAAAAAAAUUUUAAAUUGCAAAUUUAAAGAUGGGCCCUAUUUCCUAAUAUUU
This 65-nucleotide transfer RNA is filed under the name Platambus maculatus. RNAcentral's name for it is "tRNA-Cys". The record is from RNAcentral. Lineage: Eukaryota; Metazoa; Arthropoda; Insecta; Coleoptera; Dytiscidae.